GACGGAGGGUGCUAGCGUUGUUCGGAAUCACUGGGCGUAAAGGGCGCGUAGGCGGCCUUGCAAGUCGGUUGGUGAAAGCCCGGGGCUCAACCCCGGAGGUGCGGCCGAGACUGCAGGGCUGGAGGCCGGAAGAGGAGGGUGGAAUACCCAGUGUAGAGGUGAAAUUCGUAGAUAUUGGGUGGAACACCGGUGGCGAAAGCGGCUCUCUGGUCCGGACCUGACGCUGAGGCGCGAAAGCGUGGGAGCAAACAGG
RNAcentral lists this ribosomal RNA (253 nucleotides) under uncultured bacterium. RNAcentral's name for it is "partial 16S ribosomal RNA". It matches the Rfam family "Bacterial small subunit ribosomal RNA", at positions 524 to 776 of the family's 1533-position model. The record is from RNAcentral.